This is a non-coding RNA of Perkinsus chesapeaki, 72 nucleotides long. Lineage: Eukaryota; Perkinsozoa; Perkinsida; Perkinsidae. The record is from the annotation of a GenBank genome assembly.
GCACCGUUGGUCUAAUGGUUAGGAUAUCUGCCUUCCAAGCAGAUGGUCCGGGUUCAAUUCCCGGACGGUGCA